Phrynosoma platyrhinos (Desert horned lizard) is the source of this 70-nucleotide non-coding RNA. The record is from the annotation of a GenBank genome assembly. Lineage: Eukaryota; Metazoa; Chordata; Lepidosauria; Squamata; Phrynosomatidae.
GCCAACAUGGCAUAGUGGUUUGAGCAUUGGAUUAGGACUCUGGAGAAUAGGGUUCAAAUCCCACUGGGUG